ACAUGUACGGAAUCCUUUAGAGAUAGAGGAGUGCUCGAAAGAGAGCCGUAACACAGGUGCUGCAUGGCUGUCGUCAGCUCGUGUCGUGAGAUGUUGGGUUAAGUCCCGCAACGAGCGCAACCCUUGCCAUUAGUUGCUACGAAAGGGCACUCUAAUGGGACUGCCGGUGACAAACCGGAGGAAGGUGGGGAUGACGUCAAGUCCUCAUGGCCCUUAUAGGUGGGGCUACACACGUCAUACAAUGGCUGGUACAGAGGGUUGCCAACCCGCGAGGGGGAGCCAAUCCCAUAAAGCCAGUCGUAGUCCGGAUCGCAGUCUGCAACUCGACUGCGUGAAGUCGGAAUCGCUAGUAAUCGCGGAUCAGAAUGUCGCGGUGAAUACGUUCCCGGGUCUU
This 394-nucleotide ribosomal RNA is filed under the name uncultured Comamonadaceae bacterium. RNAcentral describes it as "bacterial SSU rRNA". It matches the Rfam family "Bacterial small subunit ribosomal RNA", at positions 984 to 1382 of the family's 1533-position model. Lineage: Bacteria; Pseudomonadati; Pseudomonadota; Betaproteobacteria; Burkholderiales; Comamonadaceae. The record is from RNAcentral.